AUUGAACGCUGGCGGCAUGCCUUACACAUGCAAGUCGAACGGUAACAGGUCUUCGGACGCUGACGAGUGGCGAACGGGUGAGUAAUACAUCGGAACGUGCCUAGUAGUGGGGGAUAACUACUCGAAAGAGUGGCUAAUACCGCAUGAGAUCUACGGAUGAAAGCAGGGGAUCGCAAGACCUUGUGCUACUAGAGCGGCCGAUGGCAGAUUAGGUAGUUGGUGGGAUAAAAGCGUACCAAGCCGACGAUCUGUAGCUGGUCUGAGAGGACGAUCAGCCACGCUGGGACUGAGACACUGCCCAGACUCCUACGGGAGGCAGCAGUGGGGAAUUUUGUACAAUGGGCGCAAGCCUGAUCCAGCAAUGCCGCGUGCAGGAUGAAGGCCUUCGGGUUGUAAACUGCUUUUGUACGGAACGAAAAGCCCCGGGUUAAUACCCUGGGGUCAUGACGGUACCGUAAGAAUAAGCACCGGCUAACUACGUGCCAGCAGCCGCGGUAA
This 498-nucleotide ribosomal RNA is filed under the name uncultured bacterium. RNAcentral describes it as "partial 16S ribosomal RNA". It matches the Rfam family "Bacterial small subunit ribosomal RNA", at positions 30 to 523 of the family's 1533-position model. The record is from RNAcentral.